UUUCUGAAUUGUUUUAUUGGGUUUCAAGGUUUUCGAUUUAUUUCUGUCGGCCAAUUGUGUUUGAUCAGGCAAUGGACAGCAACAGUUGGAGGGCGCCUCAAAGACAGAUGGCUCAGGGUCCGCAUCAAGGUGGUCAAGUAGGCGGCAGUGGAGAAGUAUCGGCUGUCCCAAAUGCAGCUCCGCCGGCUACUAUUGACAGCGGCGAUUGGAGGACUCAACUCCAAGCAGAUUAUCGUCAAAGAAUCGUUAAUAAGAUAAUGGAGAUUUUGAAGAGGCAUCUGCCAUUCGCUGGAGAAGAGGGACUGCGAGAACUUAAGAAAAUUGCUGUGAGGUUUGAGGAAAAGAUUUAUAGUGCAGCAACUAGCCAGUCAGAUUAUUUGAGAAAGAUAUCAUUGAAGAUGCUGACAAUGGAAACUAAAUCCCAAAAUCCCAUGGCUAAUCCUCUACAAGCUAAUGCUGCCAAUGCAAGCAAAAAUCCUCCAGACCAAGAUCUUUGAAGCAAGUGCGGAAGGAAGCCUUUGGUGAAGUUUUUGAAGAAAGGAAGCUCUUGAUUUGCUUUCCAUCUUGGGGUUUGAGAUUUUGAGAGUGGCCAGGAAGUAGAGUCUGAGCUUGUCAUUGAUAGACCUUAAUUAGUUGGGGGCAAGAACAUGGGCGUGUGAGUUGGAGAAGGUUGGCGCUUUGGUCUAGGUCCCUCGUCUUUUGUUCUAGUGUUCUCUUCUAGUUUUAGCGGUUUGACUUGAACUUGAAUCUCUUAUUAUAUUAUGGGUCUGUAUGGGAAUUUGAUGACCAUGAAUGUAUAUAUCUAAAUUUCGAAUUUGCUAUUGCUUUUAUUA
Molecule: RNA transcript, 833 nt
Organism: Coffea arabica (coffee)
Lineage: Eukaryota; Viridiplantae; Streptophyta; Magnoliopsida; Gentianales; Rubiaceae
Gene name: mediator of RNA polymerase II transcription subunit 15a
Source: RefSeq, a predicted model, not a curated record